CGCUCCGCCCCGACGCUGAGCAAGAGCCUUGGCGGGGUGGCGUCUCCAAGGGUCGCUCACCGGCGGGCGGGGCCCGGCGCUGUCCCGGGCAGCUCCGACACAGGGAGGGUCACGAAAGCCGCAGUCCCGAGAGCCGGUUGCUGAGGAAAGUCGUGUACCGUCUUCAUCAUCCCUCGACUGAGCAACCUUCUGCUCGCCAGCCGUCCCCGACACUCAGGGUGUGGGGAGAGGAAUGAAGUGCACGGUAGACCACACGCCGGGCAGCGGGAAAGUCUUUCCGACUGUAAUGUAGAACCUCCUGCCCUCUAGAAGAAAACUUCCUGGCAGAGUCUCUUGCCCCGCACCUGGCUGUCUUCACCGGAGCCCCUCAGAGUGGGUGGUUUGAGUUUCCCUCCCUGCCCCAAGCAGAGCUCCCAUGGCCGAAGACCUGCAGAACCCAGCCACAGCCAUGCUCAAGGCCCCCUCCACAUGUUCGGAUGAGCCUCACGCAUGAAGGAACCGGCAGAGGAACCCAGUAUAAAAGGAGCUUCCUCCUGACUUUGUGCUCUGGAUCAGGCUAGGAUGGUGAUCUCAUGGAGAGGCAGAGAUUGAAC
This is a long non-coding RNA of Sorex araneus (European shrew), 593 nucleotides long. RefSeq lists it as uncharacterized. The transcript has 4 exons. NCBI's taxonomy places the organism in Eukaryota, Metazoa, Chordata, Mammalia, Eulipotyphla, Soricidae. The record is from RefSeq and is a predicted model, not a curated record.